GGGGAAUAUUGGACAAUGGGCGCAAGCCUGAUCCAGCCAUGCCGCGUGGGUGAAGAAGGCCUUCGGGUUGUAAAGCCCUUUUGUUGGGAAAGAAAAGCAGCCGGCCAAUACCCGGUUGUUCUGACGGUACCCAAAGAAUAAGCACCGGCUAACUUCGUGCCAGCAGCCGCGGUAAUACGAAGGGUGCAAGCGUUACUCGGAAUUACUGGGCGUAAAGCGUGCGUAGGUGGUGGUUUAAGUCCGUUGUGAAAGCCCUGGGCUCAACCUGGGAACUGCAUCCAAAACUGGCGAGCUAGAGUAUGGCAGAGGGUGGUGGAAUUCCCGGUGUAGCAGUGAAAUGCGUAGAGAUCGGGAGGAACAUCAGUGGCGAAGGCGACUGCCUGGGCCAACACUGACACUGAGGCACGAAAGCGUGGGGAGCAAACA
Molecule: ribosomal RNA, 426 nt
Filed under: uncultured Lysobacteraceae bacterium
Lineage: Bacteria; Pseudomonadati; Pseudomonadota; Gammaproteobacteria; Lysobacterales; Lysobacteraceae
Description: bacterial SSU rRNA
Rfam family: Bacterial small subunit ribosomal RNA
Source: RNAcentral